CCUACGGGCGGCAGCAGUGAGGAAUAUUGGUCAAUGGACGCAAGUCUGAACCAGCCAUGCCGCGUGCAGGAAGACGGCUUUCGGGUUGUAAACUUCUUUUCUGGGGGACGAACAAAUGACGGUACCCCAGGAAUAAGCCACGGCUAACUACGUGCCAGCAGCCGCGGUAAUACGUAGGUGGCAAGCGUUAUCCGGAUUUAUUGGGUGUAAAGGGCGUGUAGGCGGGAAUGCAAGUCAGAUGUGAAAACUAUGGGCUCAACCCAUAGCCUGCAUUUGAAACUGUAUUUCUUGAGUGCUGGAGAGGCAAUCGGAAUUCCGGGUGUAGCGGUGAAAUGCGUAGAUAUACGGAGGAACACCAGUGGCGAAGGCGGAUUGCUGGACAGUAACUGACGCUGAGGCGCGAAAGCGUGGGGAGCAAACAGGAUUAGAUACCCUAGUAGUC
This 442-nucleotide ribosomal RNA is filed under the name uncultured bacterium. RNAcentral's name for it is "partial 16S ribosomal RNA". It matches the Rfam family "Bacterial small subunit ribosomal RNA", at positions 338 to 795 of the family's 1533-position model. The record is from RNAcentral.